GACGAACGCUGGCGGCGUGCCUAAUACAUGCAAGUAGAACGCACAGUUUAUACCGUAGCUUGCUACACCAUAGACUGUGAGUUGCGAACGGGUGAGUAACGCGUAGGUAACCUGCCUGGUAGCGGGGGAUAACUAUUGGAAACGAUAGCUAAUACCGCAUAAUAUUGAUUAUUGCAUGAUAAUUGAUUGAAAGAUGCUAUUGCAUCACUACCAGAUGGACCUGCGUUGUAUUAGCUAGUAGGUGAGGUAACGGCUCACCUAGGCGACGAUACAUAGCCGACCUGAGAGGGUGAUCUGCCACACUGGGACUGAGACACGGCCCAGACUCCUACGGGAGGCAGCAGUAGGGAAUCUUCGGCAAUGGACGAAAGUCUGACCGAGCAACGCCGCGUGAGUGAAGAAGGGUUUCGGAUCGUAAAGCUCGGUUGUAAGAGAAGAACGGGUGUGAGAGUGGAAAGUUCACACUGUGACGGUAUCUUACCAGAAAGGGACGGCUAACUACGUG
This 505-nucleotide ribosomal RNA is filed under the name uncultured bacterium. RNAcentral's name for it is "partial 16S ribosomal RNA". It matches the Rfam family "Bacterial small subunit ribosomal RNA", at positions 28 to 507 of the family's 1533-position model. The record is from RNAcentral.